AGCCACAGAAAGUCAACCUUGAGCCAUGCAGAGUGGAGAGUCAUACAUGCCAUUCCUGGGACCAUCAAAAAUGGCAGAGGUCACACAAAAGGCAAAACUUUUAAGAGGUGUUUUAAACGUCGUAUGGGCCAAAGAGAAGCUGGAUUUCCUAUUGGAGUCAGCUGUAACACACGUGUGAUGAAAUUGGCCUGUGAGGACAAGGCAGUGAGCAGAGAGGACAGCAGUCCUUAUGAGAUCAAGCUCUAAGGCCUGGAGUGCAGUGGAGCAAUCUCAGCUCACUGCAGCCUCCGCCUCCCGGAUUCAAGUGAUUCUUCUGCUUCAGACUCUCGAGUAGCUGGGAUUACAGUUUUGAGAAGAAUGCGAAGAAGAAAGGAAGAGUGAGCCUCUCUUUCCCAUCGUUACCCUCCAUUGUCCUCUUGACACCCUGCUUUCACAGAGAAAGAGUUUGAGACCCUCUCCCAGGAGCCAAGGAGAGGGGAACAGCUGGCUUCACAUCAUCUUUCUAUUCAACAAGAUACAAAAAGCUGAAGCCAGGAUGAUAGAAAAGCAACAAAGAAGACACGGUCCUUACUCAUUUCCCUUCCCGCUUCAGAGCAAAUAUGGUGCCUAGUGUUUGAAGGGAGAACUUGUGGGCAG
RNAcentral lists this long non-coding RNA (636 nucleotides) under Pan troglodytes (chimpanzee). RNAcentral's name for it is "lincRNA". Lineage: Eukaryota; Metazoa; Chordata; Mammalia; Primates; Hominidae. The record is from RNAcentral.